RNAcentral lists this unclassified non-coding RNA (301 nucleotides) under Hevea brasiliensis (rubber tree). Lineage: Eukaryota; Viridiplantae; Streptophyta; Magnoliopsida; Malpighiales; Euphorbiaceae. The record is from RNAcentral.
UCUCCUGCACCUCGGCGCACACCUGCACCGGCGACGGCGGCGGCAUGGUGCUGCGCGCCGGCCUGCCCUUGCAGGACAUGGAAUUCGUGCAAUUCCAUCCGACCGGCAUCUUCCCGGCGGGCUGCCUCAUCACCGAANNCGAAGGCGGCUACCUGUCGAAUUCGGAAGGCGAGCGCUUCAUGGAGCGCUAUGCGCCGUCCGCCAAGGACCUUGCCUCGCGCGACGUCGUCUCGCGCGCGAUGACCAUCGAAAUCCGCGAAGGCCGCGGCGUCGGCAAGGGCAAGGACCACCUGUUCCUGCA